This 500-nucleotide ribosomal RNA is filed under the name uncultured Glomeromycotina. RNAcentral describes it as "partial small subunit ribosomal RNA". It matches the Rfam family "Eukaryotic small subunit ribosomal RNA", at positions 591 to 1092 of the family's 1831-position model. The record is from RNAcentral. Lineage: Eukaryota; Fungi; Glomeromycota.
CCAAUAGCGUAUAUUAAAGUUGUUGCAGUUAAAAAGCUCGUAGUUGAAUUUCGGGGUCAGCAGGUCGGUCGUGCCACUGGUAUGUACUGGCCUUGCUGAUUCCUCCCUCUUGACGAACCGUAAUGCCAUUAAUUUGGUGUUGCGGGAAAUCAGGACUGUUACUUUGAAAAAAUUAGAGUGUUUAAAGCAGGCUUAAGCUUGAAUACAUUAGCAUGGAAUAAUGAAAUAGGACGUUCGAUCCUAUUUUGUUGGUUUCUAGGAUUGACGUAAUGAUUAAUAGGGAUAGUUGGGGGCAUUAGUAUUCAAUUGUCAGAGGUGAAAUUCUUGGAUUUAUUGAAGACUGACUACUGCGAAAGCAUUUGCCAAGGAUGUUUUCAUUAAUCAAGAACGAAAGUUAGGGGAUCGAAGACGAUCAGAUACCGUCGUAGUCUUAACCAUAAACUAUGCCGACUAGGGAUCGGAUGAUGUUAAUUUUUUAAUGACUCAUUCGGCGCCUUACG